UGAACGCUGGCGGCAUGCCUUACACAUGCAAGUCGAACGGCAGCACGGGAGCAAUCCUGGUGGCGAGUGGCGAACGGGUGAGUAAUAUAUCGGAACGUGCCCAGUAGUGGGGGAUAGCCCGGCGAAAGCCGGAUUAAUACCGCAUACGACCUGAGGGUGAAAGCGGGGGAUCGCAAGACCUCGCGCUAUUGGAGCGGCCGAUAUCAGAUUAGCUAGUUGGUGGGGUAAAGGCCUACCAAGGCUACGAUCUGUAGUUGGUCUGAGAGGACGACCAGCCACACUGGGACUGAGACACGGCCCAGACUCCUACGGGAGGCAGCAGUGGGGAAUUUUGGACAAUGGGCGCAAGCCUGAUCCAGCAAUGCCGCGUGCAGGAAGAAGGCCUUCGGGUUGUAAACUGCUUUUGUCAGGGAAGAAAUCUUCUGGGCUAAUACCCCGGGAGGAUGACGGUACCUGAAGAAUAAGCACCGGCUAACUACGU
RNAcentral lists this ribosomal RNA (481 nucleotides) under uncultured bacterium. RNAcentral describes it as "bacterial SSU rRNA". It matches the Rfam family "Bacterial small subunit ribosomal RNA", at positions 30 to 506 of the family's 1533-position model. The record is from RNAcentral.